CCAGACUCCUACGGGAGGCAGCAGCUAAGAAUAUUCCGCAAUGGACGGAAGUCUGACGGAGCGACGCCGCGUGGAUGAAGAAGGCUGAAAAGUUGUAAAAUCCUUUUGUUGAUGAAGAAUAAGGGGAAGAGGGAAUGCUUCUCUGAUGACGGUAAUCGACGAAUAAGCCCCGGCUAAUUACGUGCCAGCAGCCGCGGUAACACGUAAGGGGCGAGCGUUGUUCGGAAUUAUUGGGCGUAAAGGGCAUGUAGGCGGCUAUGUAAGCCUGAUGUGAAAUCCUGGGGCUUAACCCUAGAAUAGCAUUGGGUACUGUAUAGCUUGAAUUACGGAAGGGAAACUGGAAUUCCAAGUGUAGGGGUGGAAUCUGUAGAUAUUUGGAAGAACACCGGUGGCGAAGGCGGGUUUCUGGCCGAUAAUUGACGCUGAGAUGCGAAAGUGUGGGGAUCGAACAGGAUUAGAUACCCUGGUAGUCCACACCGUAAACGAUGUACACUAGGUGUUGGGGCAAGAGCUUCAGUGCCAAAGCAAACGCGAUAAGUGUACCGCCUGGGGAGUAUGCCCGCAAGGGUGA
RNAcentral lists this ribosomal RNA (571 nucleotides) under uncultured bacterium. RNAcentral describes it as "bacterial SSU rRNA". It matches the Rfam family "Bacterial small subunit ribosomal RNA", at positions 331 to 897 of the family's 1533-position model. The record is from RNAcentral.